UGAGGAAUAUUGGGCAAUGGGGGCAACCCUGACCCAGCAACGCCGCGUGAGGGAAGAAGGUUUUAGGAUUGUAAACCUCUGUUGUAUAGGACGAAUAAAUGACGGUACUAUACGAGGAAGCUCCGGCUAACUACGUGCCAGCAGCCGCGGUAAUACGUAGGGAGCGAGCGUUGUCCGGAAUAACUGGGCGUAAAGGGCGCGUAGGCGGCAUGGCAAGUCAGGAGUGAAAGCUCGGUGCUUAACAUCGGAAGUGCUUUUGAAACUGCCAAGCUUGAGUGUAGGAGAGGUAAGUGGAAUUCCCAGUGUAGCGGUGAAAUGCGUAGAUAUUGGGAGGAACACCAGUGGCGAAGGCGACUUACUGGACUACAACUGACGCUGAGGCGCGAAAGCGUGGGGAGCAAACA
Molecule: ribosomal RNA, 404 nt
Filed under: uncultured bacterium
Lineage: Bacteria
Description: partial 16S ribosomal RNA
Rfam family: Bacterial small subunit ribosomal RNA
Source: RNAcentral